GACGAACCUGACAAACGUUAUUCGGAAUUACUGGGCUUAAAGGGUGCGUAGGCGGCGCGACAAGUUGGGUGUGAAAUCCCUCGGCUCAACCGAGGAACUGCGCUCAAUACUGUCGUGCUCGAGGGAGACAGAGGUGAGCGGAACUUAGGGUGGAGCGGUGAAAUGCGUUGAUAUCCUAAGGAACACCGGUAGCGAAAGCGGCUCACUGGGUCUUUUCUGACGCUGAGGCACGAAAGCUAGGGUAGCGAACGGG
This 253-nucleotide ribosomal RNA is filed under the name uncultured bacterium. Its description in RNAcentral is "partial 16S ribosomal RNA". It matches the Rfam family "Bacterial small subunit ribosomal RNA", at positions 524 to 776 of the family's 1533-position model. The record is from RNAcentral.